RNAcentral lists this long non-coding RNA (1665 nucleotides) under Mytilus galloprovincialis (Mediterranean mussel). The record is from RNAcentral. Lineage: Eukaryota; Metazoa; Mollusca; Bivalvia; Mytilida; Mytilidae.
GGGUAAAGAUAUGUAUAUGUAUAUGAGUAAAUGAGAGGUUAUAUUUUUCCUGUACUUUUAUCUAUCAAAACAUUGUCAGAAGCAGCUCAAAACGGAAAGUUUCUUAAGAAAUGGCAAAAUCAAAAGCACAAACACUUCAAACCAAUGAAAAAAUAACUGCCAUAUUCCAGGAGCGCUUUUUGUACCUUCCUUCGUAACGAAUGCUUUAACCGAAACAUUUUAUAUCCAGUGCUGCGUAGAUACACUGAAACAUUAUAAGCUCUAUCUAUCUGACCAACAAGGACCUCGAGGAAAUAGCUUUUAAAUCUAGCGUUAACAUGCCCUGAGUAGGUUGAAACCUAUGUCUCUAAAUAAACAUUAAGAUCAAAAAUCAAUGAACAGAAUUUAAAUAAAGUAAUUGAAUAAUUCCGUAUCCAUUAAUUACUGUUUACUCUUGAUGAUGGAAGGAAACUUCUUCUUUUUUAUGAAAUUUCAACGUCAUUUUGGGACAAAAUUAACGUUUUAAGCUAUAAACUGAAACAUAACUAUUCUUCUAAAAAUGCUAUGAAUUCUUUGAGUGUUUUAUUUUUAAAACAAAGGGAUUGAUUGACCCAAGGAACAUCCGACCUGAAUUUGAAAGUAAUAGUUUAAAGGUUGGGAACCAGAAUAAAAAUUGAUAGAUGCUGGAGGGGAGCCAAACAUGAGCAUUCAAUUUCAAAUAAUAGAUAGAAUUAAGAAUGGAAAUGGGAAAUGUGUCAAAGAGACAACAACCCGAUCAUAGAGCAGACAACAGCCGAAGGCCACAUACAGAUAGUAUAGUUUGGCCUGGCCAAAAAAAGUAAAGCAGUUGUACUAUAAUUUAAAAAAAAGAGCUGUUACUUGUAUAUAUUAGAAUUUAUUUCUGCUAUAGGAAUAAUAUUUAAGGUGGUAUGGGUGUCUAAAUUAAAAAUGAUAGAAUUUGUUCAUACUUUGCCAAAACGUAGUAUAUAUUGAUAUAGGCUAAAAAAUAUGACAAAAUGAUGGGUCACCGUGCAUUUUCUCAAGCUACAGGUUGUGACAAAAUGACAAAUUGUGUAUGGAUUAUACAGGAAAAAAGCACCAUUAUAGGGUUAGAAACUAAAAUAAAUGAUAGAAUUGUAAAAUAAAUUACGAGAAGAUAACCUUUUCAAUAUGCUUUGAGAAUAUCAAAAGAAAACAUAGGGCCACCAUACGUUUUUCCCGGCUAAAAUACAAAAUAGGAAAAUUCCAUGUAGAUUCCUUCUGAAAAUUCACUGUUUCAGAGUUACUUCCCCUUAAAAUGCCAUUUUAAAAAUAUUAAAAAUCAAGCAAAAAUAAUCUACACUUGUAAAAAUAUUAAUAUUGAUACGUUAUAUUCUUAUAAAUUUGUUCUUUUAAAUAAAAUUCACAUUAGUUAUCUGCACUCCUGCAUCAAAUUUUGAUAAUUUGAUUGAAAAUCUAGACCUUAGGUUCUCUGUUUUUUUUUACAAUCCAAGAUGGCGAAAGACACCCAUACCACCUUAAAGACACAUCUGGGUUAAUACAUAAUCCAGAUAUAAAAUAUUUUUCAAAUUUGUAUCAGCUAAAUAUUAUUGAAAAUGUUAUAUACAGUAGUUUUCAUGAAAUAUCAAUAUUAACAAAUAUAUGUGAAUGGUUAUAGAUAUGUAUAAAUAUGAGUAAAUGAGAGGU